This 492-nucleotide ribosomal RNA is filed under the name uncultured bacterium. RNAcentral's name for it is "partial 16S ribosomal RNA". It matches the Rfam family "Bacterial small subunit ribosomal RNA", at positions 29 to 507 of the family's 1533-position model. The record is from RNAcentral.
AGUGAACGCUGGCGGUAGACCUAACACAUGCAAGUCGAACGGCAGCACAGUAAGAGCUUGCUCUUACGGGUGGCGAGUGGCGGACGGGUGAGGAAUACAUCGGAAUCUACUUUUUCGUGGGGGAUAACGUAGGGAAACUUACGCUAAUACCGCAUACGACCUACGGGUGAAAGCAGGGGAUCUUCGGACCUUGCGCGAUUGAAUGAGCCGAUGUCGGAUUAGCUAGUUGGCGGGGUAAAGGCCCACCAAGGCGACGAUCCGUAGCUGGUCUGAGAGGAUGAUCAGCCACACUGGAACUGAGACACGGUCCAGACUCCUACGGGAGGCAGCAGUGGGGAAUAUUGGACAAUGGGCGCAAGCCUGAUCCAGCCAUACCGCGUGGGUGAAGAAGGCCUUCGGGUUGUAAAGCCCUUUUGUUGGGAAAGAAAAGCAGCAGGUUAAUACCCCGCUGUUCUGACGGUACCCAAAGAAUAAGCCCCGGCUAUCUUCGUG